GGGGGUGUUCCGGAUUCGACCGGCUCGGGUCAGGGGUUGAUUGCAUACCGAGGACGACCGUUGGCCUCGUUAAUCAUCGGUUAAACAAAUAACUGCGAACGAAGAGUACGCACUGGCGGCUUAAUCCUGCCACGUCGCUGUGCCUGACCGGGUGCUAAGGUAUAAGCGGCGUCAAUCAGCGCCCUGGCUGUUUUCAUGAUAUCCGGGAAACAGCGAGAUUAAAGGAUAUAUAGUCUGAAGCAUUGCCUGUCCGUUGGCGGUUCCGAGGACAAUAAGCAAUAAAAACGGAAUAUGUAUGUAGAUA
This 304-nucleotide transfer-messenger RNA is filed under the name Lentisphaeria bacterium. Its description in RNAcentral is "partial transfer-messenger RNA". It matches the Rfam family "transfer-messenger RNA", at positions 1 to 322 of the family's 374-position model. Rfam says of the family: Bacterial tmRNA, also known as 10Sa RNA or SsrA, is named for its dual tRNA and mRNA-like properties. Its role is to liberate the mRNA from a stalled ribosome. The record is from RNAcentral. Lineage: Bacteria; Pseudomonadati; Lentisphaerota; Lentisphaeria.